Molecule: ribosomal RNA, 1445 nt
Filed under: uncultured Bordetella sp.
Lineage: Bacteria; Pseudomonadati; Pseudomonadota; Betaproteobacteria; Burkholderiales; Alcaligenaceae
Description: partial 16S-23S ribosomal RNA intergenic spacer
Rfam family: Bacterial small subunit ribosomal RNA
Source: RNAcentral
GUUUGAUUAUGGCUCAGAUUGAACGCUGGCGGGAUGUUUGCCACAUGCAAGUCGAACGCAGCAACGGGAUCGGUCUGGUGAAGGAGUGGGCGAACGGGUGAGUAAUGUAUCGGAACGCCUAGUAGCGGGGACACCAAUACAAAGGUAGCUAAUACCGCAUAACAGCCUGGGGAAAGCGGGGGACCUUCGGGCCUCGCACUAUUAGAGCGGCCGAUAUCGAUUAGCUAGUUGGUGGGUAACGGCUUUCCUACUAAGGCGACGAUCCCAGUUGGUUUGAGAGGACGGACCAGCCACACCUGGGACUGAGACACGGCCCAGACUCCUACGGAGGCGGCGGUGGGGCCUUCUGGACAAUGGGGAAAUCCGAUCCACAGCCAUCCUACAAAGAGGAGCGUCUUCUUAACAAAGCCAUCCUUGCAGGAGUGAACGGCACGAUAAUGCCCGUGCAACUGACGGUACCGUAGAAUAAGCACCGCUAACUACGCCAGCAGCCGCGGUAAUACGUAGGUAAGGUUAAUCGGAACGCUCAUCGGGCAAAGCGUGCGUAUAGUCUGGAAGAAUAUGGAACCUAUGAGCUUAACUUUGAACCGUAUUUUUAACUACCGAAAGCUAGAGUGUCAGAGGGAGGUGGAAUUCGUAGCAGCGGAAUGCGUAGAUAUGCGGAGGAACACCGAUGGCGAAGGCAGCCUCCUGGAUAACACUGGACGUUUUAUGCAUCGAGCGGGGAGCAAACAGGAUUAGAUACCCUGGUGCAGUCCACGCCCUAAACGAUACGCCAACCAGCUGUUGGGGCCUUCGCCUUAAGAAGCAGCUAAUCGCAGUGAAGUUGACCGCCUGGGGAGUACGGUCGCAAGAUUAAAACUCAAAGGAAUUGGAUGGGACCGCACGUUGGUGGAUGAGCGGAUUAAUCUGAUGCAACGCGAAAAACCUUACCUACCCUUGACAUGUCUGGAAUCCUUAAGAGAUUUGGGAGUGCUCGCAAGAGAACCGGAACACAGGUGCUGCAUGGUGGCUGCCGUCAGCUCGCUGCGUCGAGAUGUUGAAGAAAGUCCGCAUCGAUAACUGUUAUUAGUUGCUACGAGUAAAUUCCGACGAGACUGCCGGUAAUAAAACCUGAGAAGGUGGGGAUGACGUCAAGUCCUCAUGGCCCUUGCGGUGGUAGCUCUCACACGUCAUAAUGGUCGGGACAGAGGUCGCCAACCUGCGCGAGGGGGAGCCAAUCCCAGAAACCCCGGAUCGUAGUCCGGAUCGCAGCCCGCAACUCGACUGCGUGAAGUCGGAAUCGCUAGCACUGUGAUCAGCAUGGUCGGUGGUGAAUACGUUCCCGGUCUUGUACACCGCCCGUCACACCAUGGGGAGUGGGCUUCAGCCAGAAGGGUUAGCCUAACCGUAAGGAGGGUUAUCACUGCUUUUAGAUCUAUGAUCAGUGGAAGGUAACAAGGUAA